This 1640-nucleotide ribosomal RNA is filed under the name human gut metagenome. RNAcentral describes it as "bacterial LSU rRNA". It matches the Rfam family "Bacterial large subunit ribosomal RNA", at positions 1017 to 2807 of the family's 2925-position model. The record is from RNAcentral.
GGGAAACAGCCCAGAUUGUUUAUUAAGGUCUUUAAAUUUUUUCUUAUAAAAAAUAAGAUAUUAAAUGAAUAUAACUAAGAGUUAGGUUCAGAAGCAGCCAUUCUUUAAAGAAAGCGUAAAAGCUCAUUAGUUUAAUUUAGUAUUUUUUACGAUGUAUAGAGAUUUAAAAGAAAAAUACCGAAAUAGCAAAUUAAAUUUUAUUUUAAAAAUUUAAUAGUAACAGAACGUUCUGUAUGCAAAAAGAUAAAUUGAAAAAUUUAUUAAUGUAUCAGAAGUGAUAAUACUGGUAUGAGUAAUAUAAAUAAUAUUAAAUAGGUAAUUAAAUAUUAUCGUCGAAAAUUUAAGGUUUUUAAUUUAUAAUUGUUAAACAAAAUUAAGUAAUACGGUUUCUAAAAAUUUAAGUGAAAACUUAGUUUGAUGAAUAUUAUAUUCAGAAACUUUUAAAUUUAUAGUUAAUACAAAAUUAUAUUUAAAAUUCAAAAUAUCUGGAUUAGAAAACCGUACUUAAAACCAACAAUGGUAAAUGGGUAGAGUAUACUAAGACGAAAAAGUGAAUCAUAGUGAAGGAACUCGGCAAAUUAACCUUGUAACUUCGGAAUAAAAGGUUUUUAUUAAGUGUAUUUUAAUUAAUAAAAAAAUAGAAAAGGGGGUAGCGACUGUUUAAUAAAAACACAGGACUUUGCAAAAUUGUAAAAUGAUGUAUAAGGUCUGACACCUGCCAGGAACUGUGUAGUUAAAAUUGGAGAGAAUUUAUUUUCAAUCUAAGCAGCAGUAAUCGGCGGCCAUAACUCUGAUGGUCCUAAGGUAGCGAAAUUCCUUGUCAACUAAUUAUUGACGUGCAUGAAUGGUGUAACGACUUCCCCACUGUCUCCACUAUGAGCUUUGUGAAAUUGAAAUAUUUGUGAAGAUGCGAAUUAUAUAUGGUUAGACGGGAAGACCCCGUGCACCUUUACUACAUUUUUUAAUUGAUUAUUUUUAUAAAAGUGUGUAGCAUAAGUGGGAGUUUAAAUUCAGUUUUAAAUAAUAAUGAAAUACCACUCGUUUUAUAAUUAAUAGCUAAUUUAUUAAAAAAUAAUAAAGACAUAUUAAAGAUUGGUAGUUUAACUGGGGUGGUUUUCUCCAAAAAAGUAACGGAGAAAUAUAAAGGUAAAUUAAUAGUUAUUGUUGUGAUAAUUAUUUAUGUGUAAUGGCUUAAAUUUGCUUGACUGUAAGAUUGACAAAUCAAACAGAAACGAAAGUUGAUCAUAGUGACCCGGUAAUUCUUUAUGGAAAGGUUAUCGAUCAAUGGAUAAAAGGUACGCCGGGGAUAACAGGCUUAUAAUUCUCUAGAGUUCAUAUCGACGGAAUUGUUUGGCACCUCGAUGUCGGCUCAUCACAUCCUAGAGCUGAAGAAGGUUCUAAGGGUUUGGCUGUUCGCCAAUUAAAGUGGUACGCGAGCUGGGUUUAAAACGUCGUGAGACAGUUUUGUCCCUAUCUGCCAUAUACAAACGAAAAAAUUAAAUUAAUAAUUCUAGUACGAGAGGACCGAAUUAGAUUGAUCAAUGGUAUAUAAAUUAUUUCUUUUUGAAGUAUUGUUUAGUAGCUAAAUCAAUAAAAGAUAAAUACUGAAUAAAUAUAAGUAUGAAACUUUAUUUAACUUU